GUAACCGAAACAUCUUUAACUUGUAGUUGGUAUCCCAAGUAAUACCGGACUCGUGAAAUCCGGUAUGAAUCUGGCGGGACCACCCGCUAAGCCUAAAUAUUCUCUGGUGACCGAUAGUGAACAAGUAUCGUGACUGGGAAAGGUGAAAAGAACCCCGAGAGGGGAGUGAAAUAGAACCUGAAACCGUGUGCUUACAAGCCGUGGAAGCGUCGUCCACUUCGGUGGGCCGUGACCGCGUGCCUUUUGAAGAAUGAGCCUGCGAGUUAGUGGUAUGUGGCGAGGUUAACCCGCGAGGGGUAGCCGUAGCGAAAGCGAGUCCUAACUGGGCGAAUGAGUCGCAUGCCCUAGACCCGAAGCGAAGUGAUCUACCCAUGGGCAGGGUGAAGCGCCGGUAAGACGGCGUGGAGGCCCGAACCCACCAAUGUUGAAAAAUUGGGGGAUGACCUGUGGGUAGGGGUGAAAGGCUAAUCAAACUUCGUGAUAGCUGGUUCUCCCCGAAAUGCAUUUAGGUGCAGCGUCACGUGUUUCUUGCUGGAGGUAGAGCACUGGAAGGCCUAGGGGCCCUACAAGGUUACUGACGUCUACCAAACUCCGAAUACCAGUAAGUAAAACGUGGCAGUGAGACUGCGGGGGAUAAGCUUCGUAGUCGAAAGGGAAACAGCCCAGAUCACCAACUAAGGCCCCCAAGCGUGUGCUAAGUGGAAAAGGAUGUGAAAUCGCAUUGACAACCAGGAGGUUGGCUUAGAAGCAGCUAUCCUUGAAAGAGUGCGUAAUAGCUCACUGGUCAAGUAAUUUCGCGCCGACAAUUUAACGGGGCUCAAGCACAUCGCCGAAGUUGUGGCAUGGACACAUGUACCUAGCACGCUGUAACAGGUGUGUUCAGGUGUGUCCUUGGGUAGGGGAGCGUCGUAUCGCGAGUGAAGCGGCAGUGAAAACUAGUCGUGGACGCGAUACGAGUGAGAAUGCAGGCAUGAGUAGCGAAUGACGGGUGAGAAACCCGUCCGCCGGAUGACCAAGGGUUCCAGGGCCAGGCUAAUCCGCCCUGGGUAAGUCGGGACCUAAGGCGAGGCCGACAGGCGUAGUCGAUGGACAACGGGUUGAUAUUCCCGUACCGGUGUUGUUGCGCCCAUGCUGACCGCGGUAAUGCUCAGCACUCGUGGACCGCGCCCUUCGGGGUGAGGUCCAGGACUGCGAACCAAACCGUCAGUAGGCAAGCGAUGGGGUGACGCAGGAAGGUAGCCCAACCCGGGCGAUGGUAGUCCCGGGGUAAGGAUGUAGGCCGGUGUGCAGGCAAAUCCGCACGCCAAUGGCUGAGAUCUGAUGCCGAGCCGUCAGGCGAAGUGGGUGAUCCUCUGCUGCCAAGAAAAGCCUCUAGCGAGUAACAACGCCGCCCGUACCCCAAACCGACUCAGGUGGUCAGGUAGAGAAUACCGAGGCGAUCGAGAGAACCAUGGUUAAGGAACUCGGCAAAUUGCCCCCGUAACUUCGGGAGAAGGGGGGCCGGUGUGCGUGAAGGAGCCUGCCUCCGGAGCGCGUGCUGGCCGCAGAGACCAGGCUCAAGCGACUGUUUACUAAAAACACAGGUCCGUGCGAAGUUGCAAAACGAUGUAUACGGACUGACGCCUGCCCGGUGCUGGAACGUUAAGGGGAAGGGUCAGCAGCAAUGCGAAGCUCCGAACUUAAGCGCCAGUAAACGGCGGUGGUAACUAUAACCAUCCUAAGGUAGCGAAAUUCCUUGUCGGGUAAGUUCCGACCUGCACGAAUGGCGUAACGACUUGAGCGCUGUCUCAACCGUGGACUCGGCGAAAUUGCACUACGAGUGAAGAUGCUCGUUACGCGCAGCAGGACGGAAAGACCCCGGGACCUUUACUAUAUCUUGAUAUUGGCACUCGGAACGGUUUGUGUAGCAUAGGUGGGAGACUUUGAAGCGGCACGCCAGUGUUCGUGGA
RNAcentral lists this ribosomal RNA (1949 nucleotides) under freshwater metagenome. RNAcentral describes it as "bacterial LSU rRNA". It matches the Rfam family "Bacterial large subunit ribosomal RNA", at positions 375 to 2184 of the family's 2925-position model. The record is from RNAcentral.